AAGUCGUAACAAGGUAACCGUAGGUGAACCUGCGGUUGGAUCAUUAACAAUUAUUAUUGAAUUCUCCCCCCCUUCACCGGGGCGGUAGGUUCUCUAACACUUGUGUGCACUGUUUAUUGUCUCUCGGCGUUCGAGGGUUGGGUGUCCAGGAGCUAAGCUCCUUGGCGCCCUUGGGCUUUUAACGGCCUUGACCUACCCCUGAGCGUCAACUUAAACUUGAUUUUAUUUAUACUAUAAGCCUUUAAUUUUAAAUUUAUAAUUUGAAAACAACUUUUAACAACGGAUCUCUAGGCUCUCA
This 298-nucleotide unclassified non-coding RNA is filed under the name fungal sp. RNAcentral's name for it is "partial internal transcribed spacer region". The stretch from base 1 to 46 matches the Rfam family "Eukaryotic small subunit ribosomal RNA", at positions 1786 to 1831 of the family's 1831-position model. Lineage: Eukaryota; Fungi. The record is from RNAcentral.